GGGUUGUAAACCUCUUUUCACAGGGAAGAAUAAUGACGGUACCUGUGGAAUAAGCUUCGGCUAACUACGUGCCAGCAGCCGCGGUAAUACGUAGGAAGCAAGCGUUAUCCGGAUUUAUUGGGCGUAAAGUGAGCGUGGGUGGUCUUUCAAGUUGGAUGUGAAAUUUCCCGGCUUAACCGGGACGAGUCAUUCAAUGCUGUUGGACUAGAGUACAGCAGGAGAAAACGGAAUUCCCGGUGUAGUGGUAAAAUGCGUAGAUAUCGGGAGGAACACCAGAGGCGAAGGCGGUUUUCUAGGUUGUCACUGACACUGAGGCUCGAAAGCGUGGGGAGCGAACAGAAUUAGAUACUCUGGUAGUCCACGCCUUAAACUAUGGACACUAGGUAUAGGGAGUAUCGACCCUCUCUGUGCCGAAGCUAAC
Molecule: ribosomal RNA, 421 nt
Filed under: uncultured bacterium
Lineage: Bacteria
Description: bacterial SSU rRNA
Rfam family: Bacterial small subunit ribosomal RNA
Source: RNAcentral